GACGAACGCUGGCGGCGUGCUUAACACAUGCAAGUCGAACGGAAAGGCCCUGCUUUUGUGGGGUGCUCGAGUGGCGAACGGGUGAGUAACACGUGAGUAACCUGCCCUUGACUUUGGGAUAACUUCAGGAAACUGGGGCUAAUACCGGAUAGGAGCUCCUGCUGCAUGGUGGGGGUUGGAAAGUUUCGGCGGUUGGGGAUGGACUCGCGGCUUAUCAGCUUGUUGGUGGGGUAGUGGCUUACCAAGGCUUUGACGGGUAGCCGGCCUGAGAGGGUGACCGGCCACAUUGGGACUGAGAUACGGCCCAGACUCCUACGGGAGGCAGCAGUGGGGAAUAUUGCACAAUGGGCUGAAGCCUGAUGCAGCAACGCCGCGUGCGGGAUGACGGCCUUCGGGUUGUAAACCGCUUUCGCCUUUGACGAAGCGUGAGUGACGAUAAUUGGUAAAGAAGCACCGGCUAACUACGUG
RNAcentral lists this ribosomal RNA (468 nucleotides) under uncultured bacterium. RNAcentral's name for it is "partial 16S ribosomal RNA". It matches the Rfam family "Bacterial small subunit ribosomal RNA", at positions 28 to 507 of the family's 1533-position model. The record is from RNAcentral.